GAGGGUAUAGCUCAGUGGUAGAGUGUGUGCUUAGCAUGCACAAGGUCCUGGGUUUAAUCCUAAGUACCUCUA
RNAcentral lists this transfer RNA (72 nucleotides) under Camelus bactrianus (Bactrian camel). It matches the Rfam family "tRNA". From Rfam's summary of the family: Transfer RNA (tRNA) molecules are approximately 80 nucleotides in length. Their secondary structure includes four short double-helical elements and three loops (D, anti-codon, and T loops). The record is from Rfam by way of RNAcentral. RNAcentral also lists the same sequence under 2 other names. Lineage: Eukaryota; Metazoa; Chordata; Mammalia; Artiodactyla; Camelidae.